Molecule: long non-coding RNA, 1346 nt
Organism: Gasterosteus aculeatus aculeatus (three-spined stickleback)
Lineage: Eukaryota; Metazoa; Chordata; Actinopteri; Perciformes; Gasterosteidae
Source: Ensembl
GCGCCUCGUUUCCUCUGAAGAUGUUUACACUAAAAAUGGAUUCUACACGAUUUGGUGAUUACGGAGCCGAUGGAGCGAUGAAUCCUCAACGGCCAAUCAAACGCCGCGCCGAAGCCGUUUUUUGUACAUGUAACACAACACAUAGAAGUAUACGAUGCAUUUAUAUUUAAUCCUUUUUACGCGUGGGUGAAGGUAGAAAUAUGCAAGACAAACACUCGAUAUUUAAACGGAGAAAAUAAUAAAUAUUCACUUUGAUUGCUAUUUUUUAAAGAAAGCGUUGCUGUACAUUUUGUACGUGUUUUCCACUGAAGGUUGCAGUACUUUACGGUUCUUUGUAUGAAGAUGAAUCACUUUUGGGUUGUUUUUUACAAAUGUGAACCUUUGAGUUAUGAUGCGUUCAAAGACUUGCUGGAAUCGUGUUGUUCUCACUGUGCCCAGAGAAGGAGCCGGUGACCUUUAACCUUUGUGGGAGGCUCAGGAUCUACGAUUCGCUGGAUAUAUUUCAUGCUCUAUUUUUUGGAUGAGGCAAUGAUGGUUACUUCCUGUUUAUUUCCUUCACCUCUGUUUUAAUGAGAAAUAAAUAAAUGGCAUGAAUAUUUAACGUUUAGGUUAAAACACGUUUUCAUCCAUCAAAAGUUGAAGAUGAGCCGUUUUCAGGUUACGGCCGACGUUUUAUUUAUUACUAAUGUUUCAAUGUGGUUUAAUCCCGAAGGGGAGAAAUGUACCGAUCAUUUACAAGAACUAUUGUUUUGCUGUUGUUGUUGUUGUUGUGGCCUCACAACGAUCACUCUGUCAGCACGAUGAGCACUGACUUUAUUCAACAACUUAUAAUAUUCAGAUUUUAUUCGACACGCUCACUGAUAUGCAUGGAGAAGUGGACAAAAUAAUAGGAACAGUCGGUUUGAACUCCAAAUGAUGCUAAAGUGGAAUCGUCCAAUCAGAAAGCCGGAUCUCAUGGGGAGGAGUUACGAGCUGGGCCUAAUAAUCGUUUCAUAUUUAAUAAGCAGCAGACUGAUUGGAGGAGGGAGGGAGAGAGGAGCGCUCUGAUUGGUCGGCUGUCACUCACUGAAUGCGUGAAGAAGAACCCGUGUGGACGGAGAAAAGCCGCCUGGUUGAAUGAUUCCGAUUGUUCGGGCUUUUAUUUGACGGUGCUGAUGGAUGUUCCCGUGUAUUAAGUCCUGGUGGUGUUAGCAUGUUUAUUAAGUGUCACGUGUUUCACGCUAGAUGUAAAUAUCCCCUUUUGUUUUCCCACUCACUAAGAAACCUGCUGUGUUGUGGAUUUAUGAUUAACGACAUUAAACCAUGUUGUUUUAUUGACUCACAUAUGAUUCUUAUGUUGAUGUGAG